GAUGAACGCUGGCGGCGUGCCUAAUACAUGCAAGUCGAGCGAACAGACGAGGAGCUUGCUCCUUCGACGUUAGCGGCGGACGGGUGAGUAACACGUAGGUAACCUACCUAUAAGACUGGGAUAACUUCGGGAAACCGGAGCUAAUACCGGAUAAUAUUUCGAACCGCAUGGUUCGAUAGUGAAAGAUGGCUUUGCUAUCACUUAUAGAUGGACCUGCGCCGUAUUAGCUAGUUGGUAAGGUAACGGCUUACCAAGGCAACGAUACGUAGCCGACCUGAGAGGGUGAUCGGCCACACUGGAACUGAGACACGGUCCAGACUCCUACGGGAGGCAGCAGUAGGGAAUCUUCCGCAAUGGGCGAAAGCCUGACGGUGCAACGCCGCGUGAGUGAUGAAGGUCUUCGGAUCGUAAAACUCUGUUAUUAGGGAAGAACAAACGUGUAAGUAACUGUGCACGUCUUGACGGUACCUAAUCAGAAAGCCACGGCUAACUACGUG
This 497-nucleotide ribosomal RNA is filed under the name uncultured bacterium. RNAcentral describes it as "partial 16S ribosomal RNA". It matches the Rfam family "Bacterial small subunit ribosomal RNA", at positions 28 to 507 of the family's 1533-position model. The record is from RNAcentral.